This 684-nucleotide ribosomal RNA is filed under the name Triticum aestivum (bread wheat). RNAcentral's name for it is "partial small subunit ribosomal RNA". Lineage: Eukaryota; Viridiplantae; Streptophyta; Magnoliopsida; Poales; Poaceae. The record is from RNAcentral.
AUGUUGGCCCUCUCCGAAGAGGAAAUUUUCCUUUCCAUUAGUAAGGCCAAUGUUAACUCUGCUUCUGGCCCAGAUGGCUUCUCAAUCCCUUUCUUUAGGAAAUUCUUGCCUCAAUUGCGGGUCCUUCUCUGUGCGAUCAUCCAGGGAUUCUGUUUGGGGACGGUUGAAAUCUCUAGACUUAACUAUGCUGUCAUCACCCUCACUCCAAAAGUCAAGGCCGGGGAACUCAUCUCGCAAUUCCGGCCUAUUGCCCUGAUCAACAACUUUGCUAAAUUCCCAGCCAAAAGUUUCGCUACACGCCUUACUCCUGUGGCCCACCGUACUCUUUCUCCUUAUCAAUCCACCUUUGUUAAACGUUUUAUCCUUGACGGGGUUCCGUGCCUCCAUGAGAUCAUUCAUGACAUUCGCAAAACUGGCAGCAAGGCCGUUAUUCUUAAGCUAGAUUUUCAGAAGGCUUAUGACUCCGUUAGCUGGGGUUUCUUAAGGAAGAUCCUUUUGUCCAAGGGCUUUGAUGGUGGCUUUGUUCAUAGAAUUAUGCAGAUGGUCUCCGGGGGCCAUACUGCGAUUUCAGUCAACGGGAGGAUGAUGACCCACAAGUAUAGGGGAUCUAUCGUACUCCUUUCGAUAAGUAAGAGUGUCGAACCCAACGAGGAGCAGAAGGAAAUGAUAAGCGGUUUUCAGUAA